This 253-nucleotide ribosomal RNA is filed under the name uncultured bacterium. RNAcentral describes it as "partial 16S ribosomal RNA". It matches the Rfam family "Bacterial small subunit ribosomal RNA", at positions 524 to 776 of the family's 1533-position model. The record is from RNAcentral.
UACGUAGGGUGCAAGCGUUGUCCGGAAUUAUUGGGCGUAAAGAGCUCGUAGGCGGUUUGUCGCGUCUGCUGUGAAAACUCGGGGCUCAACUCCGAGCUUGCAGUGGGUACGGGCAGACAAGAGUGCGGUAGGGGAGACUGGAAUUCCUGGUGUAGCGGUGGAAUGCGCAGAUAUCAGGAGGAACACCGGUGGCGAAGGCGGGUCUCUGGGCCGUAACUGACGCUGAGGAGCGAAAGCAUGGGGAGCGAACAGG